ACACGUGAGCAACCUGCCUUUCAGUGGGGGACGAACAUUUGGAAACGAAUGCUAAUACCGCAUAAGACCACAGUGUCGCAUGGCACAGGGGUCAAAGGAUUUAUCCGCUGAAAGAUGGGCUCGCGUCCGAUUAGCUAGAUGGUGAGGUAACGGCCCACCAUGGCGACGAUCGGUAGCCGGACUGAGAGGUUGAACGGCCACAUUGGGACUGAGACACGGCCCAGACUCCUACGGGAGGCAGCAUG
RNAcentral lists this ribosomal RNA (245 nucleotides) under uncultured bacterium. RNAcentral's name for it is "partial 16S ribosomal RNA". It matches the Rfam family "Bacterial small subunit ribosomal RNA", at positions 113 to 353 of the family's 1533-position model. The record is from RNAcentral.